UGCUGGGUUAUUUCAUCUACCCAACCGCUGGGUUAUGAAAUGUUUUACCCAUUAUGGGUUAUUUAUAUGGAAGUUGGGUUAUUUUGUGCAACUCAUGUGUUGAGUCAAAAUCCAUCAACCCAACAUACAUCGGUUGACCCAGCACUUGGGUUGUUUGUGCUUUUGAACGUCAUCAGAUCAUCACCAGAGUCCACACACCGAGCGCUUGUCACAGCAGAGAACCAGUCUGGUCAUCCAACGAGGCAAAUACAUAAUAAAAGAUCAAUGGAUAGCUUUGUCAUUAACACUAUGACAGAGUGCCAGACCUUGUCGAAAGAUUUAAAAGCUUCCACGUAAUAUGUCAAAGUGACUCCAAUAGAUGAAUAGAGCCGGCCACUGGAUUCCUGGAGGAAAAGCUGCGGAACGUCAGGAAGCGGCUGAGAUCAACCAGCAGGUUGCAGAGCACGGCACAGACACCACCACAAACGCCAGAUGAUGGCGCUCUAGCAAGGGCUCUCAUACCAGACUGUACCAUAUCAGACGAACGUGGG
Molecule: long non-coding RNA, 530 nt
Organism: Perca flavescens (yellow perch)
Lineage: Eukaryota; Metazoa; Chordata; Actinopteri; Perciformes; Percidae
Exons: 4
Source: RefSeq, a predicted model, not a curated record